AGUGAACGCUGGCGGUAGGCCUAACACAUGCCAGUCGAACGGCAGCACAGUAAGAGCUUGCUCUUACGGGUGGCGAGUGGCGGACGGGUGAGGAAUACAUCGGAAUCUACUUUUUCGUGGGGGAUAACGUAGGGAAACUUACGCUAAUACCGCAUACGACCUACGGGUGAAAGCAGGGGAUCUUCGGACCUUGCGCGAUUGAAUGAGCCGAUGUCGGAUUAGCUAGUUGGCGGGGUAAUGGCCCACCAAGGCGACGAUCCGUAGCUGGUCUGAGAGGAUGAUCAGCCACACUGGAACUGAGACACGGUCCAGACUCCUACGGGAGGCAGCAGUGGGGAAUAUUGGACAAUGGGCGCAAGCCUGAUCCAGCCAUACCGCGUGGGUGAAGAAGGCCUUCGGGUUGUAAAGCCCUUUUGUUGGGAAAGAAAAGCAGCAGGUUAAUACCCCGCUGUUCUGACGGUACCCAAAGAAUAAGCACCGGCUAACUUCGUG
RNAcentral lists this ribosomal RNA (492 nucleotides) under uncultured bacterium. RNAcentral's name for it is "partial 16S ribosomal RNA". It matches the Rfam family "Bacterial small subunit ribosomal RNA", at positions 29 to 507 of the family's 1533-position model. The record is from RNAcentral.